Molecule: long non-coding RNA, 1328 nt
Organism: Triticum aestivum (bread wheat)
Lineage: Eukaryota; Viridiplantae; Streptophyta; Magnoliopsida; Poales; Poaceae
Exons: 5
Source: RefSeq, a predicted model, not a curated record
GAAAAAAAGAAAAGAAAAAACAGCCCCCACCUUCUCCUUCCCCUCGCUCUAUCGUUCCCCUCACUCUCUCCACUCCCGCACACGCAAAUCCCUAAUCUCGGCCGAGUCACCCACUCCACUCCCUCCGCUGUCGCCCCCACAGCCGCCACAACCAGCGAACUCGUCUCCCACCGCUGCCCCCUCUCGUCCCCUCCCCUCUACUCAUCCGACGGCGCUGACCGCGCAGAUCGAGCGACCAGGCGGCGGCCACAUGCGCACACAACCGGCGACCAACAUCACGCAAAGGUCAUCACCGCCGUCGCCGAAGGGCGGUCUUCUUCCACCUCGACGGACGAGCUUGCGCGCCAGGAGAGGAGCGGGGAUCCUGCGCUUCUUCCUCGCUCAGCGCCCCUGUCGCCAUGCCAUGGAUGGACCUCCCUCUGCUCUCACCAAUGCCAUGUACCGAGCUUGCUCUCCUCCUCGAGAUAUUAUCCUCCAAGCUAUAUGAUAUGGACAACACAUGAUUUAUGGAACGAAAAGAGAUCAUGUCAUCCAGAUAAUUAGAUUUCACCGCAUGAUGUUCUUUACCCCAGCCGAGCAUAGUGUGCUGCCGCGCCGUCGAUUUCCACGAAGUGGCCAGCCCGAGCCGAUUCCCCAAUGUGUCAAUGACUACGUCCGCUGCGUGAUCCUGUGGGACAUGACCAAUCCAUUGCCUUAUCAACACAUCGAGGGUGAAUUGAGUUCAGAGCUUUAAGCAAACGAUUGCGAUUUUGUAGCUGCAGUGGUGCUAUUCUUUAUCAUUUGGCAGAUGAAGGCCGUCGAAGAUCACAAGCGCAGCUUGCUAUUGUACAGGUUUGGAAUUUAGAAAGGUGACCUAUUUUCAUGUGAACUUACCUAUUCUUUGCUAUUCAGAAUAAUUCUUUAUCUUCCCAUUGCUGUGUUAAUUGAUUCAUAUGCGGUUGUGCUAUUCUGACAAGGAUGUCCAUCAAGGUUGUUUGGAGGGACAUAAUGAAACCUCACAAGUUCUACUUUGCUGAUUCUUUCAGAGAAUUGUUUCAUUACUAAUGCGCUAUCGUGGGCAUGUAUUAAUCCCAUAUUCCAAAUCACUUUGGAAUCCAGUCAAAAUCCAGUGAAAAUCACUCUGGAAUCCUUCUCCGUAAUUGAUUCGCAAACUACUCUCAAGGACUGCUCUGAACCUCAAAUAUCAUGGGCACAUGAAGUUGUGGUGUAAUUUUUACAGAAACAAGUGAUUCAGGCAGCAAGGUAUUGAUUGAUGCAACUAUGUUGUACUGUUUCGGUGACUGCUAAUAUUUUCUUUAGGAAGGAUAACCAAUUCAGUACUAAAAGUA